CCGUUAGUGGCGCACGGGUGCGUAACGCGUGGGAAUCUGCCCCUCGGUUCGGAAUAACAGUUGGAAACGACUGCUAAUACCGGAUGAUGACGUAAGUCCAAAGAUUUAUCGCCGAGGGAUGAGCCCGCGUAGGAUUAGCUAGUUGGUGUGGUAAAGGCGCACCAAGGCGACGAUCCUUAGCUGGUCUGAGAGGAUGAUCAGCCACACUGGGACUGAGACACGGCCCAG
RNAcentral lists this ribosomal RNA (228 nucleotides) under uncultured Sphingomonadales bacterium. RNAcentral describes it as "partial 16S ribosomal RNA". It matches the Rfam family "Bacterial small subunit ribosomal RNA", at positions 89 to 334 of the family's 1533-position model. The record is from RNAcentral. Lineage: Bacteria; Pseudomonadati; Pseudomonadota; Alphaproteobacteria; Sphingomonadales.